GAUGAACGCUGGCGGCGUGCCUAAUACAUGCAAGUCGAGCGAACGGACGAGAAGCUUGCUUCUCUGAUGUUAGCGGCGGACGGGUGAGUAACACGUGGAUAACCUACCUAUAAGACUGGGAUAACUUCGGGAAACCGGAGCUAAUACCGGAUGAUAUUCUGAACCGCAUGGUUCAAAAGUGAAAGACGGUCUUGCUGUCACUUAUAGAUGGAUCCGCGCUGCAUUAGCUAGUUGGUAAGGUAACGGCUUACCAAGGCAACGAUGCAUAGCCGACCUGAGAGGGUGAUCGGCCACACUGGAACUGAGACACGGUCCAGACUCCUACGGGAGGCAGCAGUAGGGAAUCUUCCGCAGUGGGCGAAAGCCUGACGGAGCAACGCCGCGUGAGUGAUGAAGGUCUUCGGAUCGUAAAACUCUGUUAUUAGGGAAGAACAUAUGUGUAAGUAACUGUGCACAUCUUGACGGUACCUAAUCAGAAAGCCACGGCUAACUACGUG
This 497-nucleotide ribosomal RNA is filed under the name uncultured bacterium. RNAcentral's name for it is "partial 16S ribosomal RNA". It matches the Rfam family "Bacterial small subunit ribosomal RNA", at positions 28 to 507 of the family's 1533-position model. The record is from RNAcentral.